CCUACGGGCGGCUGCAGUGGGGAAUAUUGGACAAUGGGCGAAAGCCUGAUCCAGCCAUGCCGCGUGUGUGAAGAAGGCCUUCGGGUUGUAAAGCACUUUCAGUGGGGAAGAAAGCCUUGGGGCUAAUACCCUCGAGGAAGGACAUCACCCACAGAAGAAGCACCGGCUAACUCCGUGCCAGCAGCCGCGGUAAUACGGAGGGUGCGAGCGUUAAUCGGAAUUACUGGGCGUAAAGCGCGCGUAGGCGGUCUGAUAAGCCGGUUGUGAAAGCCCCGGGCUCAACCUGGGAACGGCAUCCGGAACUGUCAGGCUAGAGUGCAGGAGAGGAAGGUAGAAUUCCCGGUGUAGCGGUGAAAUGCGUAGAGAUCGGGAGGAAUACCAGUGGUGAAGGCGGCCUUCUGGACUGACACUGACGCUGAGGUGCGAAAGCGUGGGUAGCAAACAGGAUUAGAUACCCCGGUAGUC
Molecule: ribosomal RNA, 465 nt
Filed under: Vreelandella stevensii
Lineage: Bacteria; Pseudomonadati; Pseudomonadota; Gammaproteobacteria; Oceanospirillales; Halomonadaceae
Description: partial 16S ribosomal RNA
Rfam family: Bacterial small subunit ribosomal RNA
Source: RNAcentral